RNAcentral lists this long non-coding RNA (299 nucleotides) under Ananas comosus (pineapple). RNAcentral's name for it is "long non-coding RNA (ACOM_LNC002662)". The record is from RNAcentral. Lineage: Eukaryota; Viridiplantae; Streptophyta; Magnoliopsida; Poales; Bromeliaceae.
CUUAAGUCUUUCUCAAGUCCCUAUUAUUCAGCCAGCAGCCUCUGGUGCAAGUGGCAAAAGGCUUAAUGAUUAGUACCCGAAAUUUUAAAUUUAAAUUCUAGUUGAUUCACAUUUCUAGUUAAGUUUAUUUCUGAAUGAAAUAAAUGAAGCAGGUAGCAUGCUACUUAUCUCUUAAAAAAAAAAAAUUAUAAUUCAAAGAACUAUAAUUAUAAUAUCUCUCGAAGUGGGUAGCAUGCUACUUAUCUCUUAAUAAAAAAAACUCUCUAUGAUUCAAAGAACUAUAACUUAUAAUAUCUCUC